RNAcentral lists this ribosomal RNA (460 nucleotides) under uncultured bacterium. RNAcentral describes it as "partial 16S ribosomal RNA". It matches the Rfam family "Bacterial small subunit ribosomal RNA", at positions 338 to 795 of the family's 1533-position model. The record is from RNAcentral.
CCUACGGGAGGCAGCAGUGAGGAAUAUUGGUCAAUGGGCGAGAGCCUGAACCAGCCAAGUAGCGUGAAGGAUGACUGCCCUACGGGCUGUAAACUUUUUCUAUAAAGGAAUAAAGUGAGUCUCGUGUGCAGCUUUGCAUGUACGUUAUGAACAAGGAUCGGAUAACCUCGCGCCGGCAGCGCCGGCAAGACGGAGGGUGCGAGCGUUAAUCGGAAUUACCUGGCGGAAAGCGAUCGUAGGCGGUAUGUCAAGUCAAGGGUGAAAUCCCCGCGCUCAACGUGGGAACUGCCUUUGAAAUUGGCAAACGGGAGUGUGUGAGAGGAUAGUGGAAUUCCAGGUGUAGGAGUGAAAUCCGUAGAUAUCUGGAGGAACAUCAGUGGCGAAGGCGACUAUCUGGCACAUAACUGACGCUGAGGAGCGAAAGCGUGGGUAGCAAACAGGAUUAGAUACCCCAGUAGUC